UACGGAGGAUCCAAGCGUUAUCCGGAUUCACUGGGUUUAAAGGGUGCGUAGGUGGAAUGACAAGUCAGUGGUGAAAACCUGCAGCUUAACUGUAGAACUGCCAUUGAUACUGUUAUUCUUGAGUACAUUUGAUGUGAGUGGAAUGUGUCGUGUAGCGGUGAAAUGCUUAGAUAUGACACAGAACACCAAUUGCGAAGGCAGCUCACAAAGCUGAUAACUGACACUGAGGCACGAAAGCGUGGGGAUCAAACAGG
RNAcentral lists this ribosomal RNA (254 nucleotides) under uncultured bacterium. RNAcentral's name for it is "partial 16S ribosomal RNA". It matches the Rfam family "Bacterial small subunit ribosomal RNA", at positions 524 to 776 of the family's 1533-position model. The record is from RNAcentral.